RNAcentral lists this ribosomal RNA (482 nucleotides) under uncultured bacterium. RNAcentral describes it as "partial 16S ribosomal RNA". It matches the Rfam family "Bacterial small subunit ribosomal RNA", at positions 30 to 507 of the family's 1533-position model. The record is from RNAcentral.
AUUGAACGCUGGCGGCAUGCCUUACACAUGCAAGUCGAACGGUAACGGGCCUUCGGGUGCCGACGAGUGGCGAACGGGUGAGUAAUACAUCGGAACGUGCCCGAUCGUGGGGGAUAACGAGGCGAAAGCUUUGCUAAUACCGCAUACGAUCUACGGAUGAAAGCAGGGGACCGCAAGGCCUUGCGCGGACGGAGCGGCCGAUGGCAGAUUAGGUAGUUGGUGGGAUAAAAGCUUACCAAGCCGACGAUCUGUAGCCGGUCUGAGAGGAUGAUCAGCCACACUGGGACUGAGCCACGGCCCAGGCUCCUACGGGAGGCAGCAGUGGGGAAUUUUGGACAAUGGGCGCAAGCCUGAUCCAGCCAUGCCGCGUGCAGGAUGAAGGCCUUCGGGUUGUAAACUGCUUUUGUACGGAACGAAAAGCCUUCUUUUAAUGCAGGAGGGUCAUGACGGUACCGUAAGAAUAAGCACCGGCUAACUACGUG